Molecule: ribosomal RNA, 279 nt
Filed under: uncultured bacterium
Lineage: Bacteria
Description: partial 16S ribosomal RNA
Rfam family: Bacterial small subunit ribosomal RNA
Source: RNAcentral
UGCCAGCCGCCGCGGUAAUACGGAGGGGGCUAGCGUUGUUCGGAAUUACUGGGCGUAAAGCGCGCGUAGGCGGCUUUGUAAGUCGGAUGUGAAAGCCCUGGGCUCAACCUGGGAAUUGCACUCGAUACUGCAGAGCUAGAGUAUGGUAGAGGGAAGUGGAAUUUCCGGUGUAGCGGUGAAAUGCGUAGAUAUUAGGUGGAACACCAGAGGCGAAGGCGGCUAUCUGGGCCAUUUCUGACGCUAAGGCGCGAAAGCGUGGGGAGCAAACAGGAUUAGAUA